GGGUGAUCCAGAGCGCCUUCCUGCACGCCAUCCAGCACUACAGUCAAAACACCGCGGGCAGGAGGCUUCAGCUUCACGCCUUUGUGGGCAUCAUCAGUAUGGCGGAUGCCUUCAAGAUAUCCAGACUGAGUGAUGUCACAGAGAGCAAGUAGAAGAAAACCUGGGAGACUUGCAAGAGCCGCACCUCACCGGGGCUCUGCAAUGUGUGGCAGCGACUGCAGGAAUCAACACUUCGGUUUGUCAGCACACAGUUUCAGCAACCUUGUUCAUCAGACUGUUGGUGAAAGGUGAUCACUAUGAAAGAGGUCAAGACUCCACAGACCGACUGGGAGACAUGACGUCAGUGCCACCACGCAGGGAGUAAAACCAAGAGGAGGAAGAGGAGCAUUCAUGAGACAUCAGCUGGUCAGCAGUCCAUUCAGGGUUGCUUUUCAUUACAUCAUUAUUUGUCCAUAAUUUCCCUUCUGGGGUUGGACAGCCCAUGAGUAUCUCCCACUUGCAGCUGUAGACAAUUUCUUCCUUACUGUUAAGUGUUGUCAUGCCUUCCUCCACACACCAUCUCAAGAUCUUCCCAGUGGUUUCCUUCCAAGUACUCUAAUGCUCUUCUCAGUUUGUGGCCCUGAUUUGUAAGUGCCAGGAAGACCAUGGUGAAGGCAGCCCACAAACCUUCCGUUGGACAUGAGUGGUGAACGGCAGUGAAAAUAUGGCAGUAUCUGAUUCUUUGCACCAAAACACAGUGUGCUUAUUAACAGAUUUAUUCACUGUUCACUCAUUUGCUCAUCUCUAAAGGAGUGAAGAGUGUGCACUGAAUUUCACAAGAGGAAGUGAAGGAUGAAGCAUGAAGGUUUUAGGCCAAAAUGAACAGACAGCAAUCAGGAAUGACACGUCCAGCAAAACCGGCAACACAGCAGAGUGCAGCCUCUACAAGUGGUGGAGGGCAUGGACACUUGGAUAUGGAUGACACUGGUUUGGGUGCCAAAUAUUAAUAGUGCACCUACACAAUUACCACACUCGCUCCUCUCACCAGGCUUAACUAUAAA
Long non-coding RNA from Scylla paramamosain (green mud crab), 1040 nucleotides. RefSeq lists it as uncharacterized. The record is from RefSeq and is a predicted model, not a curated record. The transcript has 5 exons. NCBI's taxonomy places the organism in Eukaryota, Metazoa, Arthropoda, Malacostraca, Decapoda, Portunidae.